UAGUUGCAGGAACCUGGAGGCCAUCCCAGCCUGCCAGUCUGUCAAAGUACUAACACACACAUGAUAUGUUCACAUACACAUGUUUUGGCUUAAAGAUACCUGUUAUGGUGGCACAAACACAGCUGGAAAUGUCCCCAGACCUCUUAAAAAUGUCCAAUGUAUCAUUUGCAUAUAAAAAUGUCAAAAAUCCAGCACACACACUUGAACUGUGGACAACCGUUUUGUAGCUUUGUCGCCUGUAACUCCACAACCUCCCCCUUUCUAUGUGACAUUCAGCGAUGUAAACAUUAUACAGCACAUUUUGAAUUAAUGUCAGUAUAUCUGUUGUCUGCAGGUGUCUGGGCUGAGGGAAUUACCUAAUUAAGUCAUGUCAUCCUUUACUUGGCCGUUCCUCAGGAAUAAAUGACAUCAUGAAGGAUUUGUCCCUGUCAUUGCUGAGUCGGGGGUGUGGUCGAUUUGUCUCGACAGGGAGAUAUGACGGACGGCUGGACGUUUUCCUCACACCUCAGGACUUGGUUACUUUAGAAACCAGUUGUCACUCAUGGACCAGAGACAGGAAGCAGCGAGUUGUCAGGCGGUACACUCGCCGAGUGGAACCGGAUCUCGGCACAGUCAAGGAACUAACAGCAGCCAUUUUGAGCUACAGCAAAAAUGAGGUAGUUGGAAUAGACCAGGAAUAAUAACAGUUGUCUAUGUUUGUAUGUAUGUUGCGCAUAGACUCUAUAAUGUUUACCCAGACAGCGUUCAUCAUCAAGAGAACAUUUCAUGUAUGUACUUAAUUGCUGUUGGUAAUGUGCAUUAAGUUAUUUAAGUACUGAGCAGUCUAGGAAGGUAAUGCUCAAUUAAACAAUACUUAUUUUAGUAUUGAAUUCAAUUAUUUCAUGCUGUAUAAUGUGGAAAAGGUUUCUAACAGUGACAAAAACCUACGGAGAAUUAUUACCUAAAAAAUCCAGAGUUUUUUAGCCUGUAUUAGCUCAUUGUUUUGGUUUCAUGGCGCAUUCAUUCUUUGGAUCGGCCUGAGCACACAACAUAACCCUGGUCCCAGAGGAUGCAGGCGGCAAACAAGCAUGACUUUUUCCUCUUAUACGGUCCAGUCACAGCUAGAUAACAUUUAAUUAUUUUCAACUUGUCAGCCUCCAGUAAUUUUUUGCUAGCAGUACAUUACCU
Molecule: long non-coding RNA, 1167 nt
Filed under: Sparus aurata (gilthead seabream)
Lineage: Eukaryota; Metazoa; Chordata; Actinopteri; Spariformes; Sparidae
Description: lncRNA (ENSSAUG00010027256.1)
Source: RNAcentral